CUUCUAUCAUGGAUUUCUAAUCUUUCCGGUUUCUUCAUUUUUUAAUUUCAGAAUUAUCUCCAGUGUCUAAUUGUGGAAUCCUGAUGGACGCAGAAUUAAAAUACCUGUGUCCUGGAAAGAGCUAUAACAAGGGGAUGGCAAGGAGAUGAAAAAAUAUCUGUGUGCAGUCAAAGGACAUUAAAUGAUCUUGCUUUGAGAAAGCCUGUAAGGUGGAAUUGGCCAAGACCACAUAGAUUGUGGUCUAUUCACCUAUUGUGGUGACUAGAUUUGUGGUCAGUUCACUUAUUUGUGCUGAUCUGCAUUGGGUUCCUAUAGGUGUAUCUGCAUUAGCCACCUGGUGGACAGUAUUAAUCCUUGUUUUUUUUUGUGGUAAGCAUUACAGGCAGUUUACACACAGGAUUCAUGUAGCAUUAGUUUCCAAAUAGUUCUCCUCAGCAGGAAAUUCUUAGCAGAUAUCAUGGGAGAAGGUUGGUCUCAAUGUUUAAGUCCUAUGCACAGAAUACAUGUGAAGCAGUAUAUAAUUUUUGACCCAGGGAUGGUUGAACUCUCUCUGGUGUUGCUGUGCAUAUUUUCAUUUUGCUAUUUUGAAAUUCUAUUAUUUUAUUUAUUUUAGGUUGUUUUAUUCUGUUUUCUUGCAUUUUAGACAUUCUUAUGUCUUAGAUUUUAAGAUUAUCUGUCUACAGCAUAAUAUCUUUGAAAUACUGAUUACCUACUGAUGUCAAGUGAUGUUUCUCAUAAGCACUGCUGAAAUCAUAUUCUCUGUAAAUGUACCUGGCAGGUCAGAAAGAUGCCAUCAACACCAAAAUAAUCAAUUUCAAUAACGAGAAAAUGCAGAUCACGUGGGCAGUAGGAGAACUAUUCCCCGGCGAAAAUGUGUCAUUUUCUUAUACAUUUGAAGAAGGCAAGCAGAAAGUUUGGAAGCAAUGUCCCAGUUAUUUAUUGGAUCAAGGUUAUAAUUCUGGAUGUCUUUUUAAGACAGAAGGACACACCCUUGCCUUCUCUAUCAUGAACAGCAAUGGAAGUGAAGAGCGUUUUUCUAAAAUACUAAAAUCUGAUUUCUAUAGUAAGUAUGUAAAAUCACAGCUAUGUCUUUUGGUAGUCUUAGUGUCUUCCCACAUUCUCUAUUUGUCCUUAGCAUGA
RNAcentral lists this long non-coding RNA (1140 nucleotides) under Anser cygnoides (Swan goose). RNAcentral describes it as "lncRNA (ENSACDG00005004736.1)". Lineage: Eukaryota; Metazoa; Chordata; Aves; Anseriformes; Anatidae. The record is from RNAcentral.